RNAcentral lists this ribosomal RNA (482 nucleotides) under uncultured bacterium. Its description in RNAcentral is "bacterial SSU rRNA". It matches the Rfam family "Bacterial small subunit ribosomal RNA", at positions 1 to 526 of the family's 1533-position model. The record is from RNAcentral.
ACUAGCAGUAAGAGUUUGAUCAUGGCUCAGAACGAACGCUGGCGGCAUGCCUAACACAUGCAAGUCGAACGAGACCUUCGGGUCUAGUGGCGCACGGGUGCGUAACGCGUGGGAAUCUGCCCUUGGGUUCGGAAUAACAGUGAGAAAUUGCUGCUAAUACCGGAUGAAGUCUUCGGACCAAAGAUUUAUCGCCCAGGGAUGAGCCCGCGUAGGAUUAGGUAGUUGGUGGGGUAAUGGCCUACCAAGCCGACGAUCCUUAGCUGGUCUGAGAGGAUGAUCAGCCACACUGGGACUGAGACACGGCCCAGACUCCUACGGGAGGCAGCAGUGGGGAAUAUUGGACAAUGGGGGAAACCCUGAUCCAGCAAUGCCGCGUGAGUGAUGAAGGCCUUAGGGUUGUAAAGCUCUUUUACCAGGGAUGAUAAUGACAGUACCUGGAGAAUAAGCUCCGGCUAACUCCGUGCCAGCAGCCGCGGUAAUAC